Long non-coding RNA from Misgurnus anguillicaudatus (oriental weatherfish), 548 nucleotides. RefSeq lists it as uncharacterized. The record is from RefSeq and is a predicted model, not a curated record. Lineage: Eukaryota; Metazoa; Chordata; Actinopteri; Cypriniformes; Cobitidae.
ACAAAAGUUUAGUUUACAAUGGGUUUGUGACAUGCAUACGUAACACGUGACCUUACACAACAACCACAUCCAGACAAAAGUCACUCCCAUUUCGGUAAAAACUAUACAGAACCAUAUAUAUGAACCACUGAGUAGGUGGCUUUGACUUUUGCUCUCAAAUCUGAGCUACUGUCCCAAAACUUAAACAGUAUGAAAGUCAGCUGCAAGGUCUCCCUCUCUCCUUCACAGCUGUUGGGGAAUGACUCUAAAAGGCCUUGGGAUGAUGGACGGAGAGAGUCAUGCAGAACGAGAGAUAACAACUCUAUCAGCUCACGCUCUGUACUUACUGGGCUCAAGGUAGUGCUAAUCUCACUCUACAAAAAAGCCAAUAAGAGAGAGCCAAAAGCCAUCAUCAUUCUUCUGCUGUACUUUGCCAUGGUCACCGUGUUCCUCAAAGCAGGGAGCCAUUUUAGAUGGGACUAAACUUAAUAAGGCCAGGCGUACGAAAUCCGUGCCCGGAGAUUUCCACAGAUUUUACCGCGCAUCACUGACAAGCACAAAUACCGCAC